RNAcentral lists this ribosomal RNA (444 nucleotides) under uncultured bacterium. RNAcentral's name for it is "partial 16S ribosomal RNA". It matches the Rfam family "Bacterial small subunit ribosomal RNA", at positions 338 to 795 of the family's 1533-position model. The record is from RNAcentral.
CCUACGGGAGGCAGCAGUGGGGAAUCUUGGGCAAUGGAGGCAACUCUUACCGAGCAAUGCCGCGUGAAUGAAGAAGGUCUUCGGAUUGUAAAGUUCUUUAAUUGGGGAAGAAAAAGAUGAAGGUACCCAAGGAAUAAGUCCCGGCUAACUACGUGACAGCAGCCGCGGUAAUACGUAGGGGGCAAGCGUUGUUCGGAGUGACUGGGGGUAAAGAGUGUGUAGGCGGUGUAGUAAGUCCGAAGUGAAAUACGUAGAGCUUAACUCAGAUGCUGCUUCUAAAACUGCUAUACUUGAGUGCAGUAGAGGAGAGUGGAAUUCCUAGUGUAGCGGUGAAAUGCGUAGAUAUUAGGAGGAACAUCAGUGGCGAAGGCGACUUUCUGGACUGUAACUGACGCUGAGGCACGAAAGUGUGGGGAGCAAACAGGAUUAGAUACCCUUGUAGUC